Molecule: ribosomal RNA, 460 nt
Filed under: uncultured bacterium
Lineage: Bacteria
Description: partial 16S ribosomal RNA
Rfam family: Bacterial small subunit ribosomal RNA
Source: RNAcentral
CCUACGGGGGGCAGCAGUGAGGAAUAUUGGUCAAUGGACGAGAGUCUGAACCAGCCAAGUAGCGUGAAGGAUGACUGCCCUAUGGGUUGUAAACUUCUUUUAUAUGGGAAUAAAACGUUCCACGUGUGGGAUUUUGUAUGUACCAUAUGAAUAAGGAUCGGCUAACUCCGUGCCAGCAGCCGCGGUAAUACGGAGGAACCGAGCGUUAUCCGGAUUUAUUGGGUUUAAAGGGAGCGUAGGUGGAUUGUUAAGUCAGUUGUGAAAGUUUGCGGCUCAACCGUAAAAUUGCAGUUGAAACUGGCAGUCUUGAGUACAGUAGAGGUGGGCGGAAUUCGUGGUGUAGCGGUGAAAUGCUUAGAUAUCACGAAGAACUCCGAUUGCGAAGGCAGUUCACUGGACUGCAACUGACACUGAGGCUCGAAAGUGUGGGUAUCAAACAGGAUUAGAUACCCUUGUAGUC